RNAcentral lists this long non-coding RNA (259 nucleotides) under Nicotiana benthamiana. RNAcentral describes it as "long non-coding RNA (NBEN_LNC040753)". The record is from RNAcentral. Lineage: Eukaryota; Viridiplantae; Streptophyta; Magnoliopsida; Solanales; Solanaceae.
AGGUGUCCGAUAGGUCGGAAUCUUCAUCGACCGUGAGGUCUCAGAAAACACCCCCAAAAUCUCGAAACAGACUUCAUCCAAAACAACGAAGUACAUAGAAACAUAGUCGGAUAGUCGUCGAGGCUCUGAUACCAUGUUAACAUCGAGAUUAAACCGAAAAAUCAUGAAAAAUCUAGAGAGAGAAAGUAGAGAGAAGGAGGAGCGUUUGAGAAGUCUCUGGAACUCAGAGAGAUUUUAUUAAACGAAGAACAGAAACAAA